CUCUCUCACCACAGCCCUUCCCUUUUCCUAUGUUACUUCCCAUUUUCAGCCCUCCAUUACAAGUUUACAGAUCACAAGGUCACUGAAAUAAAUCACUAUGUGAAAAAAAACAGCUAUGAAAUAGUUGAAGAAUUUUCCUUCUAGUUUAAAGGAAAACCUGGAAAAUAUUUUCAUCUAUAUGUCUAGCAAUCUCCUUAUUCAACAACAUUUCACAACAGGGAGCUGUAUCAUUCAUUUUGGAAAAAACCUGUAUUUCCUUCUGCCUUGAGGACUUCGUUUAACAUUUGUCAGGCAAGGCUGCUGAUGGUGGUCAACCACAGUGUGCAAGUCAAUGGCAAGGAUGUGGCAUCCAACAGCUCCCUCAUCGCUGUGUGCAGCUCAAUGGAAAGGCUGUGUUUUGAUUUGCAAAAUGGCUAUGAUUUGCAAAAUGCAACAUCUGUUCCAAGUAAACAAAUAUUCCAAACCACCUCUUGAACUGGAAGUUUGGAUUCAGCAGCACUGCUUUCUGUCUUGUUUUUCCAGGUAGAAUCUGAUCACAAUUGUCUCUCUCUCAGCCUUACCUCACCCCCAUGUUCUUGGGUCAUAAACACCACCCUUUGGUGCCACCCUCCUGGCCUACCCUCACUGCACCUGGCCUACCCUCUCCAAAGCCAUUGCUCACCACCUCCUGGUAGUGUACAAUAUAUCUAGGAAAUAGACUCUCAGUCCCAAGGACUUUGGGCCAACCCAUUUGUGUCUGCCUCUGACAAGCUAAGCUACCAUGACCUUUCCAGACUUCAACUCCCCAGUGUGAAGAUUCCUAGGACCCCAGCCUCACUCCCUCCUCACUGUGUACACUCAACCUUGAACUGGCCAGCAGCCUUGUGUUUCACCUCUUCCGAUGACACACACAUUCUCUCAUCGACCACCAAAUUUCCCCCUUAGAUUGGUUUCUGAGGGCUUUCAGUCCACAGAACAUCUUGAACUGGAGUGUCUUGCUACCAACUCAAAUUAAUCUUGGGAGGCUGAGCAUGGUGGCUCAGGCCUGUAAUCCUAACACAUUGGGAGGCUGAGGCAGGCCAAAGAA
RNAcentral lists this long non-coding RNA (1066 nucleotides) under Homo sapiens (human). RNAcentral's name for it is "HSALNT0315016". The record is from RNAcentral. Lineage: Eukaryota; Metazoa; Chordata; Mammalia; Primates; Hominidae.